GGUGCUUGCACCUUUCAAGCGAGUGGCGAACGGGUGAGUAACACGUGGAUAACCUGCCUCAAGGCUGGGGAUAACAUUUGGAAACAGAUGCUAAUACCGAAUAAAACUUAGUAUCGCAUGAUACAAAGUUGAAAGGCGCUACGGCGUCACCUAGAGAUGGGUCCGCGGUGCAUUAGUUAGUUGGUGGGGUAAAGGCCUACCAAGACAAUGAUGCAUAGCCGAGUUGAGAGACUGAUCGGCCACAUUGGGACUGAGACACGGCCCAAACUCCUACGGGAGGCUGCAGUAGGGAAUCUUCCACAAUGGGCGAAAGCCUGAUGGAGCAACGCCGCGUGUGUGAUGAAGGCUUUAGGGUCGUAAAGCACUGUUGUAUGGGAAGAAAUGCUAGAAUAGGGAAUGAUUCUAGUUCGACGGUACCAUACCAGAAAGGGACGGCUAAAUACGUGCCAGCAGCCGCGGUAAUACGUAUGUCCCGAGCGUUAUCCGGAUUUAUUGGGCGUAAAGCGAGCGCAGACGGUUGAUUAAGUCUGAUGUGAAAGCCCGGAGCUCAACUCCGGAAUGGCAUUGGAAACUGGUUAACUUGAGUGUUGUAGAGGUAAGUGGAACUCCAUGGGGUAGC
This 619-nucleotide ribosomal RNA is filed under the name Leuconostoc lactis. RNAcentral describes it as "bacterial SSU rRNA". It matches the Rfam family "Bacterial small subunit ribosomal RNA", at positions 75 to 679 of the family's 1533-position model. The record is from RNAcentral. Lineage: Bacteria; Bacillati; Bacillota; Bacilli; Lactobacillales; Lactobacillaceae.